AUUGAACGCUGGCGGCAUGCCUUACACAUGCAAGUCGAACGGCAGCACGGGAGCAAUCCUGGUGGCGAGUGGCGAACGGGUGAGUAAAGUAUCGGAACGUGCCCAGUCGUGGGGGAUAACGUAGCGAAAGUUACGCUAAUACCGCAUACGAUCUAUGGAUGAAAGCGGGGGAUCGCAAGACCUCGCGCGAUUGGAGCGGCCGAUAUCAGAUUAGGUAGUGGGUGGGGUAAAGGCUCACCAAGCCGACGAUCUGUAGCUAGUCUGAGAGGACGACCAGCCACACUGGGACUGAGAAACGGCCCAGACUCCUACGGGAGGCAGCAGUGGGGAAUUUUGGACAAUGGGCGAAAGCCUGAUCCAGCCAUGCCGCGUGCAGGAUGAAGGCCUUCGGGUUGUAAACUGCUUUUGUACGGAACGAAAAGGUUUGGCCUAAUAAGCUGAGCUCAUGACGGUACCGUAAGAAUAAGCACCGGCUAACUACGUGCCAGCCGCCGCAGUAA
This 500-nucleotide ribosomal RNA is filed under the name uncultured bacterium. Its description in RNAcentral is "partial 16S ribosomal RNA". It matches the Rfam family "Bacterial small subunit ribosomal RNA", at positions 30 to 523 of the family's 1533-position model. The record is from RNAcentral.